This 358-nucleotide ribosomal RNA is filed under the name Lacrimispora algidixylanolytica. RNAcentral describes it as "bacterial SSU rRNA". It matches the Rfam family "Bacterial small subunit ribosomal RNA", at positions 57 to 398 of the family's 1533-position model. Lineage: Bacteria; Bacillati; Bacillota; Clostridia; Lachnospirales; Lachnospiraceae. The record is from RNAcentral.
GCAGUCGAGCGAAGCGAUUUUAAGGAAGCCUUCGGGUGGAAUUAAAAUUGACUUAGCGGCGGACGGGUGAGUAACGCGUGGGUAACCUGCCUCAUACAGGGGGAUAACAGUUAGAAAUGACUGCUAAUACCGCAUAAGCGCACAGUGCUGCAUAGCACAGUGUGAAAAACUCCGGUGGUAUGAGAUGGACCCGCAUCUGAUUAGGUAGUUGGUGAGGUAACGGCCCACCAAGCCGACGAUCAGUAGCCGACCUGAGAGGGUGACCGGCCACAUUGGGACUGAGACACGGCCCAAACUCCUACGGGAGGCAGCAGUGGGGAAUAUUGGACAAUGGGGGAAACCCUGAUCCAGCGACGCC